This 327-nucleotide unclassified non-coding RNA is filed under the name Hevea brasiliensis (rubber tree). Lineage: Eukaryota; Viridiplantae; Streptophyta; Magnoliopsida; Malpighiales; Euphorbiaceae. The record is from RNAcentral.
GGGUGGGAAUCUGGAAGUUCGAAUCUGCAUGUAGCAAAAGGAAAAAAAAAUUAGUAUACAAUAGAAGGAUUUGUCCCAUUAGCAUAAUCAGCUGGAGUUGAAAACAAUUUGCUUUCAGUGCUGAACAGUGGAUUUGUUAGUUUACUAUAGUUGCAUCCUUUGGCAGACUGCCCUGCUCUGUGUGGCUGUGCCCAUAGAAUGGGGAGCAACAGCUAAUUUUUCAAGUAUAUUCUUUGUCAGUUUCAGGCCAAAAAAGUUAUUCAUAAAGGCUCAAGGCCCAGUAGAUAAUCAUUCCUAAUUCAAUUGAAUUCUGACCAUUUGGAAAUA